This 497-nucleotide ribosomal RNA is filed under the name uncultured bacterium. RNAcentral's name for it is "partial 16S ribosomal RNA". It matches the Rfam family "Bacterial small subunit ribosomal RNA", at positions 28 to 507 of the family's 1533-position model. The record is from RNAcentral.
GAUGAACGCUGGCGGCGUGCCUAAUACAUGCAAGUCGAGCGAACGGACGAGAAGCUUGCUUCUCUGAUGUUAGCGGCGGACGGGUGAGUAACACGUGGAUAACCUACCUAUAAGACUGGGAUAACUUCGGGAAACCGGAGCUAAUACCGGACAAUAUUUUGAACCGCAUGGUUCAAAAGUGAAAGACGGUCUUGCUGUCACUUAUAGAUGGAUCCGCGCUGCAUUAGCUAGUUGGUAAGGUAACGGCUUACCAAGGCAACGAUGCAUAGCCGACCUGAGAGUGUGAUCGGCCACUCUGGAACUGAGACACGGUCCAGACUCCUACGGGAGGCAGCAGUAGGGAAUCUUCCGCAAUGGGCGAAAGCCUGACGGAGCAACGCCGCGUGAGUGAUGAAGGUCUUCGGAUCGUAAAACUCUGUUAUUAGGGAAGAACAUAUGUGUAAGUAACUGUGCACAUCUUGACGUUACCUAAUCAGAAAGCCACGGCUAACUACGUG